CUGUUGGCGACCGGCGCACGGGUGAGUAACGCGUAUGCAACCUACCUACUACAGGGGAAUAACCCGGAGAAAUUCGGACUAAUACCGCAUAAUACAGGGGUCCCGCAUGGGAAUAUUCGCUAAAGAUUUAUCGGUAGUAGAUGGGCAUGCGUUCCAUUAGCCAGUUGGUGAGGUAACGGCUCACCAAAGCAACGAUGGAUAGGGGAACUGAGAGGUUUAUCCCCCACACUGGAACUGAGACACGGACCAG
Molecule: ribosomal RNA, 250 nt
Filed under: uncultured Bacteroidales bacterium
Lineage: Bacteria; Pseudomonadati; Bacteroidota; Bacteroidia; Bacteroidales
Description: partial 16S ribosomal RNA
Rfam family: Bacterial small subunit ribosomal RNA
Source: RNAcentral